GGGCACGAGAAUUCAUAGAAAAGCUGAGGGAGCUGAGGUUAUUACAAAAUCUCAACUCUGGUUCCCUGUGCCUGAGAAAAACGGCCUAAACAAAGCACAGGUGAGGGUUUGUGGUGGCCUCCCGUCUGGGGAUCCAAGGCAUUCUGCCUCCUUGGAAGUUCUUGGCCUCUCGGCACUCCCAGUCGAUGGAGGUGUUGUCAGUGGACAAAGAUGAACAUUCCAGAAGAAAAGGCUUGAAACCAGCAGGCAUCAGAGAGAGCUCACAGCUGCUAAGAAGCUGGAGGCAUCCGGGCUGGUCUCUGCCCACCCCCACAACUGUUAGGCCACAGAUGCGGCAGGCAGGGCUGAGCAGCCCGGGUGGGGAGAAAGGGCAGAAGAGGAUUAUGGGAGGUCCCUGGGGAAACCUCAGGCAGAUUGAGGACGUUGCCCCCCACCAGCCCCCUCUCCAGGCUCAGAGGCGGUCAGAGUAGAGGCACACAGUGCUUGUCUGGGGCAGGUGGGCUUUAGCGCACACACUUUCAGGCCUUCAUUAAGAUUCAUCCUCCCCCGUGACCUGUCUCCUGGGUCCUGACCUGCAGCCCAGGGGUAGGGGGGGUUCCCCUUCUGUGGGGCUGCCCCAAGGCCCUUGCUGAGAGGCUAGGCACACCAGGCCUGUGUUAAGACUUGCCAAACUGCACCAGGAUCGCAGUAUCCAUUGUGGGAGGCGGAGAUUUUGCCCAGAUAAUUCUCUCUCCUUUCCAGCCCCAAUCCUAGCCCUGGCCUGGAGCCUUCCAGCCCCUACAGGCUGGGGUAGGAGAUGGGAUGGGUGGUACUGCCUGAAGGCAGAGAGGCCUACAGGUUGGUCCCCAGACCCCUAACGCCCUCGUGGUCUCUGGCUUGGGAAAGCCACGUAUGAAUAAACAUAGCUCAAUGAUACCAUCCAACAUGAGGCCAAUUCUUCCUUGAAGUCACCAAGUGAAGUUACUGUCUUGCUUGUUCGCAGGCCUUCUACCUCCUUUGGGCAUCACCCUGAUCUAGAGGCUCCGCAUGAAAGCGGGACAGCCUUGCUGCUCUACUCUUCUUACCCAGCCCAUCGCAGGCUGAUCCAGAAUGCUGUGCUUUCAAAUACCUGUCUUCUAGGGGCCCCAAGGGGGUCCUGGGCUCCCUUUAUAGGUGCAAAGAUGCCAUGGGACCUGGAGGGACCUGGAGUUUGGAGUUGGGUGAGAAUGUGGAGGAACUAUGCUGCUUUCAUAGGGUAGGGGAUGCAAGUUCUGGUCGACAUCAGCCCUGUACCCAGGAAAGACUCCACAGCCAUGGAACUCCAAGCAGACCUGGCUUUGAAUCACCACCUACCACCUGUGCGACCUUGGGCAUGCUGCCAAGCUCUCUGAGCCUCAGAAGCCCAUCUGUCAGGCACAAAAGUGCCUAACUCAUAGGAGUGCUCUUGAGGGUCAAUGGGGGUAGUGUUUAUUUGAGGCACUGGUCUGAGGGCCUGGUGCACAGUGGCAGUGAGGGUCCCAGUCACCUCUCAUUCUUUGGGAGCCCCUAGGAUUCCACUCCCCUCCUGAGUAAUUGUGGCUUCAUCCCAUAGGCAGCAAGAGCUGGGGACCAGUGAACUUCUCCUCAGCCCCUCAGUCCAGUGAGCACUCUCGGUGGUGAGGAGAGGGAUGGGAAGAACUGCAGGGGUCUGGUGACUGAGAGCUUUGGGGCAUCACUCCAUCUGCCUUGGUCACUAUGCACAGCCCCUCCCCCCCAUCCCCAUUCUUCUCUGGAGGUGGCAGCCCCAAGCCCACCUGUGGGGCCUCACUGUCACCCUGCCCCCUGCCCUGUGCCCUGUGUGGGCACAAGUUCCUUGUCCCAGGACCUCAGGCUGCUAUGAGCAAGGGGCAGACGGAGGCCAGGGCCCGGCCCCCCAGAUGCCACACAGCCAGGAUUCAUUACCCUUCUUUGGGACCCCACAUUUGUCACUCCCAGGACGGUGGGGCUUGGAGGAAGCUAUCCACAUGUCCUCCUUUCUGCUCCAGAUGGGGCAAGGAGUUUAAGUUAGAUAAACAGAGAUGAACAAAUGCUAAACUUGGAGUUCCAGCUGUGGCGCCUGGUGGGUCAAUGAUCUGGCGCAUCUCCGUGGCAUUGCUGGUUCUACCCCUGGCCCAGCACAGUGGGUUAAGGAGCUGGCAUUGCCCCAGCUGUGGUGUAGGACUCAGACGAGGCUCAGAUUUGAUCCCUGGCCCAGGAGCUUCCAAUAUGGCCAAGGGUGCGGCCAAAAAAGAAAAAAAAAAAAAA
RNAcentral lists this long non-coding RNA (2262 nucleotides) under Sus scrofa (pig). Its description in RNAcentral is "lncRNA (ENSSSCG00050006209.1, ENSSSCG00150029886.1, ENSSSCG00185028963.1)". Lineage: Eukaryota; Metazoa; Chordata; Mammalia; Artiodactyla; Suidae. The record is from RNAcentral.